GCAAGUCGAGGGGUAACAUAAAGUGCUUGCACUUUGAUGACGACCGGCGCACGGGUGCGCACCGCGUAUGAAACCUACCUUAUACAGGGGAAUAGCCUUUGGAAACGAAGAUUAAUGCCCCAUAGUACCUUUUGUAGCAUUGCAAGAUGGUUAAAGACUUCGGUCGUUAUAAGAUGGUCAUGCGUCCCAUUAGUUAGUUGGUGAGGUAACGGCUUACCAAGACAGCGAUGGGUAGGGGCCCUGAGAGGAUGAUC
Molecule: ribosomal RNA, 254 nt
Filed under: uncultured bacterium
Lineage: Bacteria
Description: partial 16S ribosomal RNA
Rfam family: Bacterial small subunit ribosomal RNA
Source: RNAcentral